Molecule: long non-coding RNA, 327 nt
Organism: Arabidopsis thaliana (thale cress)
Lineage: Eukaryota; Viridiplantae; Streptophyta; Magnoliopsida; Brassicales; Brassicaceae
Product: other RNA
Exons: 1
Source: RefSeq
GUUCCGUACCAUCUUCUACUCUCUUAGACUUGCAAAAUCCCUUUAUGAGAGUAUUAUAUGUAACUACAUCUGGGAAACAGUCCUUGCUAACCAUGAACUCAAACAUCUGCUUGGCCUUGUCUAGACGAUCAUGCAUACAGAACCCGUUGACCAAUGAAUUGUAAGUGAAAAUAUCAGGAUCUAUAGACCUUUUGAUCAUGUCAUCGUACAAUUUCUCAGCCUCUACAAACUUUCCUUCUUUCACAAACGCAUCGAUCAAUGCAUUGAACGUGACUAAAUUAGGGUUGAUUUUCUUCUCAAUCAUAUCACUCAGUAGUUGAGAGGCAU